UUUCAAGAUCCAAGUAAUCCAAGGACAUCUUGGUUUUUCUUGUUGACUGCUUGAAUGAAGCUCCGAUUGUACCUGAAGUAGGAGGGAAUCUAUUAAUCGAAGAAGGCCCCUCCAAGAAGCUCCGAUUGUAACUGAAACUAGAGGGAAUCAAUUAAUCCAGGUUAAACAGUCUUUCUUUUUGUUAUUGAUCCUAAGAAUAGGUUUGGAAGGAGGGAGGGGAUAGGAGAAGGGGGAUGGUGAUUAUCUUUUCUAUCCUGUGUGGAUGUGUUUUUUAGGAAGGUGAGAAGAUAUGAGGGGAGACUGAGGGGAUAGGUUUGGAAGAUAUGGCGAAAGUGGCUAAUUGCAAAAUUUUGAGAUCUCAGGUAUAAAUGUUGCGAGUUGGAAAAACUGAGGUGGUUUUUUGCAAACCAGCAAAAGCUGAGGUAUUGAAUUUUCAACUAACCGAAUUUGGCCAUCAAGGCUGUAUUGACUUCCUUUUUCUGGAUUGCUCUUAUUAGGAGGCUUCAGUGUUGGAUCCUUUGGACAGCUCUCGUGGCUCUUUACUGUGGAAUAUUUGUUUUCUUGAGCUUCUCAGGACUGGGAAAUUUGUGCUGUUUCCAACUUUUUCAACAGCAUUGGUAGUGUUGUUGUGAACAAGAUGCUUUGGAUGCAUUAUGGGAUUAAGAAGUUCACUGUUUGAUCUUUGUACAAGGUUUUUUCAUGUCAGAACCAUAUUCCUUUACCUUGGAAGUGCAUAUGGAUGACAGGACUAGACUUGCAUGGGUGAUGCCUAGGAGGUUGUGGAUCUUUUUGCUUAUUGAAGAGGCUUUCAAGGCAACCUCCUGAUGGCUGGUGCUUGGAGAAUGAUUCCUUUAUGUCUCAUGUGGUGCAUUUGACUUGAAAUGAAUGGACAGUUGGGAGCGCUCCUUGGAUGAGCUUAGAAAUUCCUUUUUCCACACAUUAUUUCUUUCGGCAUCUGCUAUUAUUCAAUGGAGCCAGCUUCCAUGAAUUUCUUUUAUCAAUUUCUAACUCCUUACCAGUAACUAGGUGUUCUCUUUUAACUUAUAAAAAAAACUAGGUGUUCUCUUUUGUGUACUUCUUUUUGUACUUUGGCUACACUUAUUUAUUUGAUUCGAUAAAACUUUAUUUUACCUAUAAAUAAAUAUAAUUUGGAAGCAUAUAACUUUGUUCUUGUGAAUUUGCAUCAUCCUCUCAUAACUAACAAAUUUUGGAAGCUUGAAGGUCUCAUCACAUAUGAAUUGCAUCGCCCCUUAUUCCCGUGGACUUUUUUUUUGUAUUGAUAAAAAUAUUAUUUAUACCCGGUAUUUUAGUGAUAGUAGACAUAUAAAACGAUAGUCCACUGACAAGUUCUUUAUAUUAUAUUUUAGUGAGGCUAUGAUAAAAUAGAAAAUUCAGAAAUCACUAACUUCAUCUUAUCUGAGUUCAGCACAGCGAACUGACCAAAAAAGUCCAAUACAUAAAAUAGAAAUGAAGAAAAUCCUUGACGCUAAACUGAUUAUUAAUAGGGUUCUUUACUUGACAUAAAAAAUAUACAUCAGUUCAACAUAUAAGUCUGAGUCUGCUAUAAAAAAAUAACUUGAAAAUAGAGACAUGACUAACUCCAUUUGCUUGAUGAUAUUGCAAGAAAAACAGAUUCUUGGUGAUGGGUUUCUCAGUUUUUUAUUUAUUGAAAUUACCAAGAUGUCCCUGUAUCGUAACACAAAGAUCUA
Juglans microcarpa x Juglans regia is the source of this 1709-nucleotide long non-coding RNA. RefSeq lists it as uncharacterized. NCBI's taxonomy places the organism in Eukaryota, Viridiplantae, Streptophyta, Magnoliopsida, Fagales, Juglandaceae. The record is from RefSeq and is a predicted model, not a curated record. The transcript has 2 exons.